Molecule: transfer RNA, 74 nt
Filed under: Planctomycetota bacterium
Lineage: Bacteria; Pseudomonadati; Planctomycetota
Description: Planctomycetes bacterium tRNA-Ile
Rfam family: tRNA
About the family: Transfer RNA (tRNA) molecules are approximately 80 nucleotides in length. Their secondary structure includes four short double-helical elements and three loops (D, anti-codon, and T loops).
Source: RNAcentral
GGGCUCGUAGCUCAGUUGGUUAGAGCGCAUCCCUGAUAAGGAUGAGGUCCGAGGUUCGAAUCCUCGCGGGCCCA